Long non-coding RNA from Gallus gallus (chicken), 948 nucleotides. The record is from Ensembl. NCBI's taxonomy places the organism in Eukaryota, Metazoa, Chordata, Aves, Galliformes, Phasianidae.
UUCUUACUGAAGAUCCUUGUGUACCUGAGGCCUUUUGAAGGGAAUGGAACAUUUGCAAGUAACUAUGUUUGCAACUAGAAGAAUAAUUAGGAAGAACAAUAGCAUGUAUCUUGGAACUACCGAUCAGCUUUCCUCUGUGAACUCUUAAAAACUUGCUUUUAAGGAAUUUAAGAAUGUUAUCUGCAUCUUCAAGAGCCACUAGCCAUCAGAAUAUCAAAACAAGGAACCUAGGAGAAAUGAUAUAUGAAAAGAAGAAAGGGCAUCCCUAGGUGAUUCCAAGGACAGAGGCAUGAAAUGAGCACACAUGCAUGAACUGGAGAGAAAGAACCUUAGUGCAAUAAACUGCUUUGUUGAAGGGCAGUUCAGCAUCUUUCCUGGGAGAAAGCUUCCGUGGGCAGUGGCCCUUUGUGGUGCCCAGCAGUACUUGCCUGACCUCCCUCCAGCCUCUGCAGAAACAGGCUGGACUGUUAAUGCUUGGGGUCUGACCUUUCACAUCUUUAGCUCUGCACUGACAAACAGAAUAACAGCUGAGCAGGUCUUGCAGGUGGGACAUUUACUACAGGGUUUCUCACUUUUUGUCUUGGGUGCCCAAUAGAGGAAGGAUUGUCUCACUUUUUGAUCCUGAGGUGGUCCUUACAAUCUCUGGAUUAAAGAUGCAGACUAUUUGUUGAAGAUUCCUAUCUGGAUGACUCGUUCCCUUCCUGCUGCUUCUGUUUCUCUCCUUUGACACUUUAAGGAAGAAUCCAAAAGGGCAAUCUUUUCCAGCAGUAACUUAUUCCAUGUUAGUGUAGUAUCUCACAUGGUGAGAUCCUGAGGGGAAUGCAGCUAAUAAAAGUAACAAAAUCCUUUCAGAAAUGUUGGGUAGCAUGGAAACAAAUUUGCUAUCAAGAUGCUUCAUGUUAAACUUUGGAAUCUGUUCACCUAUGGGUAUGAAUGAGAUAUUUUUAU